UAACCACUCAAGCCUAGCUUGGUAUUGGAGUUCGCGGUGUCGCGGCUCUUAAAAUUAGUGGCGGUGCCGUCUGGCUCUAAGCGUAGUAAUUCUCUCGCUAUAGGGUUCUGGUGGUUGCUUGCCAUAACCCCCCAACUCUCAC
This 142-nucleotide unclassified non-coding RNA is filed under the name uncultured Helotiales. RNAcentral describes it as "sequence contains ITS2". The record is from RNAcentral. Lineage: Eukaryota; Fungi; Ascomycota; Leotiomycetes; Helotiales.